CCAAGGAAGGCAGCAGGCGCGCAAAUUACCCACUCCCGGCACGGGGAGGUAGUGACGAAAAAUAACAAUACGGGACUCUUUUGAGACCCCGUAAUUGGAAUGAGAACAGCCUAAACAUUUUAUCGACGAACGAUUGGAGGUAAAGUCUGGUGCCAGCAUCCGCGGUAACACCAGCUCCAAUAGCGUAUAUUAAAGUUGUUGCGGUUAAAAAGCUCGUAGUUGGAUCUUGGGCCGCGCGGCUCGGUCCGGCGAUAGCCUGGAUACUGGGUCUCGCGCGGUCGCUCGGCAGGCCAGGGUCCAUGAUCUUGACCGGUUGUGGGCUCGGGCCGGCACGUUUACUUUGAAAAAAUUAGAGUGCUCAAAGCAGGCUUUACGCCUGGAUAGUGUUGCAUGGAAUAAUGGAACAGGACCUCGGUUCUAUUUUGUUGGUUUUCGGAAUGCGAGGUAAUGAUUAAGAGGGACAGCCGGGGGCAUUCGUAUUGCGCCGCUAGAGGUGAAAUUCUUGGACCGGCGCACGACGAACUACUGCGAAAGCAUUUGCCAAGAAUGUUUCCAUUAAUCAAGAACGAAAGUCAGAGGUUCGAAGGCGAUCAGAUACCGCCCUAGUUCUGACCGUAAACGAUGCCAGCCAGCGAUCCGGCUGCGUUAAUCUUAUGACGCGCCGGGCAGCUUCCGGGAAACCAAAGCUUUUGGGUUCCGGGGGGAGUAUGGUUGCAAAGCUGAAACUUAAAGGAAUUGACGGAAGCGCACACAAGAAAUGGGGCCUGCGGCUUAAUUUGACUCAACACGGUGCAACUCACCCGGCCCGGACACAGGAAGGAUUGACAGAU
Molecule: ribosomal RNA, 830 nt
Filed under: Tetragnatha hasselti
Lineage: Eukaryota; Metazoa; Arthropoda; Arachnida; Araneae; Tetragnathidae
Description: SSU rRNA
Rfam family: Eukaryotic small subunit ribosomal RNA
Source: RNAcentral